RNAcentral lists this ribosomal RNA (225 nucleotides) under uncultured Acinetobacter sp. RNAcentral describes it as "partial 16S ribosomal RNA". It matches the Rfam family "Bacterial small subunit ribosomal RNA", at positions 568 to 792 of the family's 1533-position model. Lineage: Bacteria; Pseudomonadati; Pseudomonadota; Gammaproteobacteria; Moraxellales; Moraxellaceae. The record is from RNAcentral.
CGCGUAGGCGGCCAAUUAAGUCAAAUGUGAAAUCCCCGAGCUUAACUUGGGAAUUGCAUUCGAUACUGGUUGGCUAGAGUGUGGGAGAGGAUGGUAGAAUUCCAGGUGUAGCGGUGAAAUGCGUAGAGAUCUGGAGGAAUACCGAUGGCGAAGGCAGCCAUCUGGCCUAACACUGACACUGAGGCACGACAGCGUGGGGAGCAAACAGGAUUAGAGACCCUCGUA